This is a long non-coding RNA of Hippocampus zosterae (dwarf seahorse), 6407 nucleotides long. RefSeq lists it as uncharacterized. The transcript is spliced from 4 exons. The record is from RefSeq and is a predicted model, not a curated record. Lineage: Eukaryota; Metazoa; Chordata; Actinopteri; Syngnathiformes; Syngnathidae.
UCUGAGGAAAGAUUGAGUUGAGUAAGUGAAACUAGAUGGCUCUUUGCAAAUCAACCCGAUGAACAGUGAAGGCGGGUGGGGUGGGGGUGGGGGGGUGAUACCGGAGGAGAUCUUGCAGAUGUAGGGUUUGGCUUGGUCACACCGGGUGUCGUUCCAAGUGCCGUGAAACAAUGGCGACCCUCGCAUGCUGACACAACCCUCGUCUUUUAGGUUGUCGGGCUCUCCGGGACCCCACUGAGUGAAGAAUACCGGCCAGCCAUCUGUCCAGGCGAAGGAGCCAUCAUCCUGCAAGACCAGAUUACACGAGACUAGAGUAGUAUUAAAAAAAAAACAGUGCAUGUGAAUACAUGUGUGCUAUUUGUAGCUAUUUAUUUGUGGUCUCCCCGUCCCGCCUGACACAGCACCUUGAGCUUCAGUCCGAUCCAGGCAUCAGCUUUUCCCUGCAGGACCACUCCGGCGACAAAGGCCUGGUCGUAGCUCAUGUCGAUGCUAGCCAGGUUGGCGCCCUGCUGCUCGCAAGCCUUCUGAGCUGCAUCCCAGGUCGCCGGCUCCUCCACCAGCUUGUAGCAGUUCAAGUACCAGGAUAUGUAGCCGGCGGGACAGGGGCUGCUUGUAGGAUGAGGCGGCGUGAUACUGCUCGCUGAGGUGGAACCCGCAGAACAGAUGCUCCUGGUAACAACGGCAGGAUUUUCAAAGUCAUUGCGAUGACAGGCGCACAGCCGAAAGGAGUCAUGGGUAGCAUAUUCUCACCGUCCCCCCUGCGUUGUUGGGCUCUUUGCCGUUCCAGUUGGUGUAGAGGACUGGGCUCACGCCAUCGCUCCAGGCGUACUGAUUCUCCACCAGGAUGUCGGACAAACCGAUCCACGUGGGAAGCUCCAUGUCUUUCAGCCUGCAACGAAAAUGCUUCCUGACAACCAAAUCGUACGUGUAAGGAAGAGUGGUGUUCACCGCGGUGUGAGUUCGUGAGAUCCACCUGGUCCUGAUGUUGGCGGCUGGGGAGGAGGCCCCUGGCCCUUGGCUGCAGGGAUGCCAUGAAUUCAUUGGUGGCUGUGCAGAAGUCGUCUUUGAGUUUUCCCGCUUCUGUGUGCAUCGGACCUUCCAGGUGAACGCAGUCCUCGUUGUUCUGCCAGUUGUCCGGCUGGUUUGGUGCCCACGGGAGGAGGUUCUGUGCAAAACAUUUGGAAUGUCGCUCACUUUUAAUACGAUGAUUAUUUUUUGCAUUUCAAGACGUGUUUUCUGAAUUUCUUUCAAAUUAAAAACUUUUCGGGGACACUACGUGUAGGUGUUCCACUUACUGUAGCUGUUCCGUCAGUGUACACAAACUGGCUUUCGAUAUUAAUAUCGUUGAGUCCCACCCACGCCUUUCCCGGCAUGUGGGCUUCAGGGGGGAAACAAAUAAAAAAAAAGUGCGAACAUUAGCUUUUUCGAAUUACAGAUCAAAGCUUGAAGGAUGUUAUGGGAUGAUUCUGACGUUGCAACGAAUCCCCAAGUGGACAGUUAGUCUCACCAAUCAAGAAGCUGAGCUCUUCCUGCGAGUGAAAGCUGACGAGGUGACCUUGUUGUGCGACGCAGUAAGUCUCUGCAUCUUGCCAUGUUUUCACCAGUUCCCCCUCGAAAUGGUAGCAAAAGUCACCAUACAGCAAAUAGCCGGGGUCGCAGUGGGAAGCUAAGUGGAGAAACAUUUAUUACAAAACCUUGAAGGUAUUGACGAUAAGGGGAGCGGAGAUGGGGGGGGGGGGGGGUCAACUGUGAGACUCACUCGGCGCUGGAGUCGGUUUGGGGUUUUGACCUCCCGUCAUCUCACAAAUGUAACCGUGCUUCUUGAAGCAGCUGCUGGUUUCCCAUUUUCCUUCAUAAUUUCCUUUUUGGGGUCAACAACAUAUACGUGUUGGGGCUUGUGAUUUCAUUUGGUAGUCGGUUUUAGGGUAAGGCGCACGCUACCUGUGAAGAUCAUUCCGCAGUCCCAGAUGUUUGCAGUGUUUCUAGGCCAACCGGGUCCGUAGUUUGUGUAGUUAACGGGGGUUUUGUCCACCCAGUGGAAUGUCCCAUCCUGGUCCUUAUCUGGAACACCAAUUAUGGUUAAAUGUUCAGUAUAUGCGAUUCAUUGACAAAGCCGACGCGUCCAAAAUUUGAAAAUACCAUUUGGUCCCAGGACUGAAACUAGUCAACUGAAAUGGCUUACAGCACCUUGCUUUGGUCAAUCAGCCAAAACCUAUUUUGGGUCCAAAGUUUGGCGCCGUUUGCUAUCUAUUACUCAAAAACUGGAUGGAUGGAGAAAAAAAUCAAAUGGUGUACCUGAUAAACCAAUCCAGAUGUCAGGAACAUCCACUUGGUGAAAGUCAGGAAGUUUCCCGUUAAUGAAGAAUUGUUCAUCUUGGCUGCAAGAAAAACAAAUAAAGGUUGUGUAGGUUAAAAUGGUGACCACAAAAUCCAUUCAAAGUUGCAGAGGUUAAAAUACCACUGCCAGAAGUGCCCACCCAACCCCCAAUAAGUAUUAUUGUUGCAUACGAAAAUAAGACGAUUGUAACAACAACAUUAGUUCCAUUUUUACACUUUAUAUACAUAGGAGCGAGGAACCUUAAGACGAUAAGCCAUCUUACCCCCCCGAAGCUGCAAUAGUGUCCAGAGUUUACCUGUUGAUGACGAGCAGGUGAGCCCCCUCAUUGGAGCAUGUGGCGAAGGCCUCGUACCAGGUGGUCAGUAGGUCAGUGUUGCUGACUAGCCAGUAGCAGCUUCCGGAAAAACUCUGCCAUCCGGCAGGGCAGAUGGCUGAAGCGGGGAUGCGAUGAUUGCGCGUUUCUCAUAUUUCAAGUGCAGAUAAAUGACGGCGUCGCUCACUGUUCACUGGCCGUUUGCACAUGUACGGACGCUCCUGACGGCAUAGGUGUGACCUCCACUUGCCAAACUCAUCAGAGCGAUCUUUGAUGAUCGCCGUGCAGGAGCCCACUUCGCCGUUGCUGUUGGGAGACGUUGCGGAAAGCGGGGUGUACUUAUUCGGGUAAGCAGGCCUAAUUGGAGCUUGAUGUCUGUCCUAUGCAAUUAUCAUAUGGUGUUGGGUCUUAGUGUUUUUUUUUUCCCCCCUUCCCGUUCCUGAUCUGAUGAUUUAACGGUCGGAGCAGAAGACUGGAAAUUCACAAUGCAACAAUGUGAUUUUCUUACAUUUUGGGUUCACCCGGUGCCCAGUUGGUGUAGUUUAUCGGCAGGGCGUCGGACCAGUUCAUGUGAACGCUUCCUUCUUGGAGCUCACACGAGAUCUUAUUGCAUUUCUGCGAAAAACCAAUCCAGGUUCUCAAUCCAGUACCUGGAAUAGUUGCCACGGUUGCAAGCGAUUUUUCUCUUACCAGAUUGGAGAGUCCGAUCCAGAGGUCGAUCCGGAAAGGAUCCAGCAACCCGGUCACAUACAGCUCUUCCCGCUCGGAGGUGAUGGAGACGAGGUCGCCGCCCUCCAUGAUGCAGUCGUGACGGGCCGCCGACCAGCUCUUGGCGGUUCCCGACUUCAGCUUGUAGCAGUUGGAGCUGUACCGGUCCCACCCAUUGCUCAGAUCGCAGUGUGGCCCCGGAUUGGCUAGGAGCACAUUUUCAGGGUUUUGUCUGGCUAAGUGGUGGAAGUUCAGGAGCCAGAAAGGCCUUUGGUAGGACUAAGCACUACAGGUAGCACUGGGCUACUUUUACAAACCAUUUAGCCUCUGAGUUGCCAUGCCAAUUUAAUUUGCUUAUGUUCUUCAAAAUCAGUCACGCUAACCAAAGGAAGGUUUCUCAGGAAAAUACAGAAUCUGGAGGGGCCUGUCCUCUUAGUAUUUGGUGAGCAUUGUCGCGCUGCAGCUGUAUUGCAGCAAAAUGCAGAUAAUGGACUCACAGUUGGCAUGCUUGCAGAUGUAUUUCCUCUUGACGUCGCAGUUCUCAUCAUUCCAGCGACCAGAGCUGCCGCCCACCACUUGACCACAAUCCUCACCCGGCUCGUCACCCCAGUUGUCAGGCUGACCUUGAACCCAGUACCUGGUGAAAAGAAAUAUUGAGCCAUUGAAAUCUACUGGGACCAGGAGGAAUAAUCUAGACUGAGCAAUUCUACUGGUUCUUGUUGGCCCAUGUCAUGACCUGAUUUUAACGCUUCCUGAUUGAUACAUACGAUAUGUAUUGUAUGAAAGGACUCCCAUCCGUCCACUCCCACACGCCCUCUGUGAUUCCGUCUGUCAAGCCGAUCCAGAAGAUCUCUGUGCCGAUUUGCGUCCUGACCCACAACUGCAAGAAAUGGUCCAUGGAAAUUAACACAGAACAAAUGACCGAGCGGCAGAGGCGACAAAACCACUCACACUUUGAACUUGCUGAGAUGGACAUAUCCAAAUUAUUUAAAAAAAACGAAACAAAAGAUUUACUGUAGGUCAAAGUACAAGAGAAUACAGUGACAAAAUUGUUGACUGCUUUACUUCAUAUCACAGUUUAACGAUGUAGCGCCUCACCCUCUCGUGGAUGUCCUGAAUGCUCAUCAAGUUGCUAUUUUGUGAUAAACAGAAGGUGUUAGCCUCCCACCACGUCAUUGUGUCAGCGGAGAAGUAGUAACAUUUGUGGUCGUUCUCUCGCCAGCCUGCUUGGCAUUGACACUGUCCUGGAAAUACAAUACAAAUACAGGUCUUUGCCAUCUUGAUAAAUGUGACAAACAGCAAUACGUGUGUGACUAUUUCUAUUAUUAUAUUCUGGAGAAGCCACACAAAUCGGCGAAUAGAUAAUUGAACUGGUUGAAAGUGCGAAAAUAAGUUGAAUCAAUUGUUGUUGAAAUUGUGACUCGUGUACAGUACAAAGAGAUUGUCGUAGAAAUGCACAAACUGUAAAAGUCUCAUGACUUGAGCGCCUCACAAUGAAUUUUAGAUAAUGUUUAACUCCCCCAUUUUCAUUAUUACGUCACAUGAUCGUAAUGAUCCCAAGCAUGUUUUGGGGGAUGAACAUCAAACACUAGUUUCAUCUAAAAUAAACAAUGAAUGAAUGAAUGAAUGAAUAUUUCAGAAUGCAAACCUUAAAAUUACUUUUUACUUUUAUUUACUUAAAAAAACCCCAAACUAUGAAAAUAAAUAGACACAUCUUUGUAUGCCUUGAGCAUUUUUUUAAUGCGAAACAAAACAAAAACGUGACGGGGUGAUACAAUAAGAGUACAGGUAUUAAAUUAUGGCGGAAGUGACGCAACAGCGCACAGUCUGGCACCAGCUUCCCGCCGUAGCUCAGGCAAAGCUAACAAGGAAGUCCCAUGGUAAGGCCAAUGUUAGUAAUGGUCCGGAUUCAUUUAUAAUUUUAUGACAAUAUUCAACUUUAUUAUUUUUUUUCUACUGUGUGGUGUGUUUCAUUAGUUCCCCGAUUUGUUCUGAGCCCACAUAGCUUUUUAUAUCGUUAUUUAAAACCUAUUUUGACGAGUGAAGGUUUUUACUGGUUGAGUUGACAGAAAUUGCUUGUCUUUUGCGCAGUUAUUUCCGAGACCGAAACCCAAUGCGACUUCACCCAUCCCUCCUGCCAUACUGUGUUGCAGGUAAUGUUUGUUUGUGAGUUCGCAGUUCGUCGCGGCCGCCAUUAUUGUUCGUUGCAGCCGUUUCUACUAAGUGUGAUGCGUUUAGUGAAAUCUUGUAAAAAACAUAACUCACCGAGGUGUCUGGUGUUAUUGAGACCUCAUAGUUGUGACCCUCCGUCACACAUGCAUAUAUUUCUUCCCGAUAUGAAGGAAAAACAUUUGCGUGGAUGACGAUGCAUUUCAUUUAAUUCAUGUCACAAAUAAUGCCGCGUGGUUGAAUGUUUUGAAUUUGAUGAUUGGCUGACCCCAAACAUAAACCCACUUAUUUACCGAGAGCAAGAAAAGUGGCCAAACAGACGAUCACAAACAUAAACCCAAUUAAAACUUACCGAGAGCAAGAAAAGCGGCCAAACAGACGAUCAGCAGCACAAGUGAUCUUCUCGCUCUACUCUUCAUCUUUGACUUGUUUUCUUGAUGCUCGCCUUUGUCGCAUACUGUGGAGGCUGAUGCUUCUUCUGAGCUCAAUGUGUAAUUUGUCUGAAGGUUAUCAAACUUCUCAUUUGCUUCGCGCGCCCAAAGAGUUCAAAGUGUACAAGCAGUAAAGCAUGCACAUCUCAUCAUGAGUCAUACAUGUUAGGGUGUAAAAUUUAAAGGGCACAAAAUACUGUAAUGCAAAAUAAACACGUUUAUUGCGAUUAAAAGACUGAUUUGAAAUGGGAUUUUUCUUGAUACAUUUUAUACAUGCUGAAUAAACAUGCCAAAAAGUGUUCCAACUGUUUUUACAUUUCAGUUUUCCUGAUAUUUUGAAAGUUGUGUGGUCAAUGACUUUUUUUUUUAUUUGUUCCACUUCACAAAGUCCAGCACUUUAUAACAAGCGCAUGUCUUUACUUCAAUAAACGGUCACUUUUUAACUUUA